RNAcentral lists this ribosomal RNA (253 nucleotides) under uncultured bacterium. RNAcentral's name for it is "partial 16S ribosomal RNA". It matches the Rfam family "Bacterial small subunit ribosomal RNA", at positions 524 to 776 of the family's 1533-position model. The record is from RNAcentral.
UACGAAGGGGGCUAGCGUUGCUCGGAAUCACUGGGCGUAAAGCGCACGUAGGCGGGUCUUUAAGUCAGGGGUGAAAUCCUGGAGCUCAACUCCAGAACUGCCUUUGAUACUGAGGAUCUCGAGUCCGGGAGAGGUGAGUGGAACUCCGAGUGUAGAGGUGAAAUUCGUAGAUAUUAGGAAGAACACCAGUGGCGAAGGCGGCUCACUUGUCCGGUACUGACGCUGAGGUGCGAAAGCGUGGGGAGCAAACAGG